UUCAGGUCUUCAUCACGCUCAUGAGAUUUGAUUUCCAGUGGCACAUUAAAAUCAUUUAUCUACUGGAUUUAGAAAACAAUAUCAGAGCUCUGAUUUGACUGCUGACUGAAAGUUUAUCUUCACGUCUCCAGUCCUCAAACUCCCCUUUGAGAGAUCUGGAUGUGAGUAACAAUGACCUGGAGGAUUCAGGAGUGAAGCUCAUCUCUGAUGCUCUCGAGAGUCCAGACUGUAAACUACAAAUACUGAGAUGUCUGUGAUCUCAAAUCCAAAAAGAGCAAACAUUCAUCUCAUACUGUCUGAGGACCACAGAAAGGUGACGUGUGUGUGAAUGAUAUGAGAUUUGAUGAUGUUUCUCGGUUUCUGUGUAAGUAAAGUCUCACUGGACGCUGGGAGAUUAAAUGAAGCGGGUCACAUACUGGAAUAUCAGUCUCAUAUAAAGACAUCAGCAGGAAUAGAAAGAGUGCUGGGGGUGUGUUUAAAUACAGUAGACGAUCAUUAAUAAUAUCAGACUCACUGCUUUUUAUAAUGAAGUAACAGCAGUAGUGUUUAAAGACAUCUCUGAUGCUAAUAGAUCUGGACUGGCACUCAGCGGGCACUCUGUCCUUCUACAGCGUCUCUGACACACAAACAACACAACAUUCGCACAACCUUUAUAUGCUGGAUUUAAGAUUGAAGACUGAUGAUGUGACUAAUAAAAGAAAGAGACAGCUGUAUGUUCUGCACUGUGUGUGUAAUCUCUCCAGUCAGCACAACAUGAGUCUGUAGCGCCACCCAGCGGUCACAUCACUGAACUUCACAUCAAUAAUGAUGACAUUGACAUUCAUUACUCACACAUUCAAAUAAUAUUAAUAUCAUAACGUCUGAUUAUUAAACUAGAAAGACUGCAAACAUCAUGAUUUUAGCCCUUAACUAAAGUCUACUAACUAAUAAAUGAGAGAAAGAGACACACACACACACACGCGCACACGCACACACGCGCACACACACACACACACACACACACAGAUGUAGUGCUGCAUACUGAAGACAUUAAGGUUAUGAUUGAUGAAAGAUAAUGACACAUUCAUCUUCAGACUGCAGUCUUUUACUAUCUAGUUGCAGAUGAUGCUGUGAUUGAAAAGGUGAAGAUGAAGAGGUCAGGGUCAGAUGAUGAAGAUGAUGAUUUGCUUGACCUUUAACCCACACACCACCUUUAAAAAACUUUCAGUAUAGCUAAUGAAGGUGUGUGUGUGUGUGUGUGUGUGUGUGUGUUUGUUUUUGUGUGUGUGUGCGUGUGUCUGUCCUUAGGCCCAGUUACAACAGGAAUUUUAGCACAUUUUUUAUUA
This is a non-coding RNA of Paramisgurnus dabryanus, 1325 nucleotides long. The record is from RefSeq and is a predicted model, not a curated record. Lineage: Eukaryota; Metazoa; Chordata; Actinopteri; Cypriniformes; Cobitidae.